GGGAGUGGGGAAGGGGGCAGUGGGGUUAGGGUAGUGGGGAAGGGGGUAGUGGUGUUAGGGUAGUGGGGAAGGGGUAAUGGUGUUAGGGUAGUGGGGAAGGGGGCAUUGGUGUUAGGGUAGUGGGGAAGGGGGUAGGGGUUUU
Non-coding RNA from Cherax quadricarinatus, 142 nucleotides. Lineage: Eukaryota; Metazoa; Arthropoda; Malacostraca; Decapoda; Parastacidae. The record is from RefSeq and is a predicted model, not a curated record.